Silurus meridionalis is the source of this 1297-nucleotide long non-coding RNA. RefSeq lists it as uncharacterized. NCBI's taxonomy places the organism in Eukaryota, Metazoa, Chordata, Actinopteri, Siluriformes, Siluridae. The record is from RefSeq and is a predicted model, not a curated record. The transcript has 2 exons.
CACGGUUCCCCCUCAAAACAGCAUGAGAUCGCUUUACACCGUGCACGUCAUCAGCGCUGACAGAAGUUCAGCAGGAUGUUAGCUUGAAUCUGACUGUGAGCUCUGCAAAGUUUCUGCAGCGAAGUCCCUCCUCCUUCCUGUUUACUGCGAAUGAACCAUGGCCACAAGCAAAGCAGCAGCAAAUGAGCGAAGGAAACCGGGUGAUGUAAUGCAACAGCGGAUUUGCAGGAAAAGUGCAGUGCGGCGCAGCUGUCGUGAUGCAGAUAUCAGAAAUCCACAGCGAAACACUGGUACCCUGUAGACGGAAGCGUUCUCAUGCUGGAAGAGAGGACUUCCGUCAGGAUAGAAUGCUUCCAUCACAGGAUCAAGGUGAUCAGGAUGAACUUAUAGCCCUUCUUGCCUUCUCCUAAUCACUUUGCUGUCUUGUCUUAGUGCACACAAUGUUAGACGUGUUUAUUUGUGAACCGUGAAGAUGAAUACCCACAGAUCAGCCGUAACAGGCAUAGAUAGGUGCCAGAAGCCAGGUUUUCCAGCAGAACAUCACCCAGAAUAUUAAUCUGCCUCCACUGAGGCGCCUUCUUUCCCAGGAGCACCAAGUGGUGUGCAGGCAUCAGCAUGGGUUCUCUGACUGCUCCACAUCCAGCAUAACAUUUACUCUGUGCGCUUCCACUUCUGAUUGAUUCCUGUCAGCAUCUGAGCAACUUAUUGUUGUGUGCUACAGUAGUUAUGUGACGAUCUAGCCUUCAGCAUCCAUCACCCUCACUCAUUCAUCAGUUGUCUUUCCUUGAAGCACUUUUGGUUAAUACUAACCACAGCAUCCCAGAACACCCCACAGUGCCUGCUGUACUGGAGAAGUCAUCUGAACAUCUUUGUGAAAGUUGUUUAGGAAAAAAAACCCACCAGAUGUAUUGCAAUUUUUAUUUCAUUAGCUUAAACAACAAAUCAAUGUUAGCAUGUAAGAAAUGUCUAAUUAAUAUGAGAACAGUUUGGUACAACGUGAAUGAUAAUAUAGAAAAAAGACCAAUAAAAUGCAUUUUGUGGACAUUCAGUUGGAUCAUGUCCAACAGACUUCUGAAAAGUCGACUUGGUCUCAGCCACUCCUGAAGAUGGAGAAGUCAGCUUUUUGAGGCCAAUGCAGUCAACAAUUCAUCACCUUCAUCAAGAUCAUCAUUCAAACGACCCCCACUGCAGCAAACUUUACAUUUCCAAACCUCAUAGAACAUAAACACGUUACACAAUCCAUACUGUAACAAUAAAAAUGGCAUGAAGAAUAAAUGCACAUUUUCUUUUAAAAGAA